AGCCGUAGAAAGCCCCGUAAGCA
This 23-nucleotide transfer RNA is filed under the name Paralichthys albigutta (Gulf flounder). RNAcentral describes it as "partial tRNA-Phe". The record is from RNAcentral. Lineage: Eukaryota; Metazoa; Chordata; Actinopteri; Pleuronectiformes; Paralichthyidae. RNAcentral also lists the same sequence under 2 other names.